RNAcentral lists this long non-coding RNA (831 nucleotides) under Canis lupus familiaris (dog). Its description in RNAcentral is "lncRNA (ENSCAFG00000051574.1)". The record is from RNAcentral. Lineage: Eukaryota; Metazoa; Chordata; Mammalia; Carnivora; Canidae.
GACUGGUCGAUUUUAUACAUUUAUGAAAAUAGCAUAACGUAUGGAGCCGUUGAAUCACUAUGUUGUACACCUGAAGCUAACCCAACACUGUAGGUCAGCUAAGCUUCAGUAGGAAAAAAAAAAACCAUAAAGUGAAGAUAAAUUAUGAAAAUCAUGCCCUCAUCCGGUGUUUUGGGGGCCCCACCCAGCGAAACACCUGAAAGUCUUAGGAGAGAAGAUGAAGCAGGAAGGGGUGGAGACCAUGGCAGAGAACAAUCAGAUGCACAGACCCGGUCAAGAAGCUGAAAGGUGUCAGCUCAUGAUUUUGUUUCCUUCAUACACGGAGCUGGCAGCCAGAAAUCCAGAGCAGAGUAAAGGGAAGGAGAAAGAGCAACCUCCUGGAAAUCAGUUGACAAAUAGUAAUCAAAGGAGAAGAGCGAUAGUCUCCAGUAAGACUCAGUUUGGCAACUAAUUUUUAUGCAAAUCAACUUAGUCCUAAAGCUCCCAUUUCUCUCUAGUAGUAGGGAAAAAUAAUCUCGCCCAUCCAACGAACUGCAGUCACUUCUGGCUUGAAAUAUAGUCAGGUCAGGAUUUGAACUUCUUCAGGUGGAAUUUUUCUGGGCUGGCCCCCUUCGCACACACACACACACACACACACACACACACACCCCUACACGUACGCACGCUUCCCUCCUGUGUGGUUGCUCUGGGACACAGCUAGUUUUCCCCCUUGUGGCUCCAAUUGUCAUAGGGUCCCCCUGUGAAGCUAUUUUCUCUUAGGGUUCCAAACAGGAAUUAGGGAACGGGCCUCCCAUGCUUUUGGAUACCUAAGCACAUUUGGAGUUUCAGGAC